This 253-nucleotide ribosomal RNA is filed under the name uncultured bacterium. RNAcentral's name for it is "partial 16S ribosomal RNA". It matches the Rfam family "Bacterial small subunit ribosomal RNA", at positions 524 to 776 of the family's 1533-position model. The record is from RNAcentral.
UACAGAGGUCUCAAGCGUUGUUCGGAUUUAUUGGGUUUAAAGGGUGCGUAGGCGGGCCUUUAAGUCAGUGGUGAAAGCCGACAGCUUAACUGUCGAAAUGCCAUUGAUACUGGGGGUCUUGAGUACAGUAGAGGUAGGCGGAAUUAAUGGUGUAGCGGUGAAAUGCAUAGAUACCAUUAAGAACACCGAUUGCGAAGGCAGCUUACUAUAGUGUAACUGACGCUGAGGCACGAAAGUGUGGGGAUCAAACAGG